RNAcentral lists this ribosomal RNA (752 nucleotides) under Gyrinicola japonica. Its description in RNAcentral is "partial large subunit ribosomal RNA". It matches the Rfam family "Eukaryotic large subunit ribosomal RNA", at positions 352 to 909 of the family's 3401-position model. The record is from RNAcentral. Lineage: Eukaryota; Metazoa; Nematoda; Chromadorea; Rhabditida; Pharyngodonidae.
CGUGAGGAAAGUUGCAAAGAACUUUGAAGAGAGAGUUCAAGAGGGCGUGAAACCGCUGAGAAGGAAACGGAUAGAGUUGACGAAACACAGCGGCAUUCAUCCGACCUGUCCUGGCAACUGGCUGCCCGGUAUAGAUCGUUCUCCUCGGGGAAUGACGGUCUGGCUGUCAGCUUAGUCGGCUGGUUGGUGCUUUUGCCGUUGGUAUGCGCGGAGACGUUCGCUGUGGCGUGUCGACGUCGAUGUCAGAGGACCAGUGCCAAAUGGUACUGGAAACCUGACUCGGCUUAGGUAUGUUCGCGGUGAAACGGUAACCACAUACGCCGCUUGCUAGUUGCGUAGCUGCCUCUGCAUAGUUGGGUGCGUUGUUGGGCGAUCGCGUGCGAUUUGUCUACAGCUGUAUUCCGGCUUGUUUCUGGCUAGUUACGUUGGCGGUGUAUCUCCGUGUAAAAGUCAGCCACCUAUCCGACCCGUCUUGAAACACGGACCAAGGAGUUUAGCAUAUGCGCAAGUCAUUGGGUGGUAAACCUAAAGGCGUAAUGAAAGUAAAGACUGCUUCGAGCGGUUGAUAUGGGAUCUGUGCUUGCUUGCAGGCGCAGCGCACCAUAGCCCCGUUCUUGUUGCUUGCAAUAGGGCGGAGGUAGAGCGUAUACGCUGAGACCCGAAAGAUGGUGAACUAUGCCUGAGCAGGAUGAAGCCAGAGGAAACUCUGGUGGAAGUCCGAAGCGGUUCUGACGUGCAAAUCGAUCGUCUGA